This 26-nucleotide non-coding RNA is filed under the name Homo sapiens (human). The record is from RNAcentral. Lineage: Eukaryota; Metazoa; Chordata; Mammalia; Primates; Hominidae.
UGCCGUGUGGGGAUCACAGCCCCAGA